CCACCGAUAUAUGCACCAAUUA
This 22-nucleotide microRNA is filed under the name Xenopus laevis (African clawed frog). RNAcentral's name for it is "Xla-Mir-12481-P2_5p (mature (co-guide))". The record is from RNAcentral. RNAcentral also lists the same sequence under 1 other name. Lineage: Eukaryota; Metazoa; Chordata; Amphibia; Anura; Pipidae.